Molecule: ribosomal RNA, 253 nt
Filed under: uncultured bacterium
Lineage: Bacteria
Description: partial 16S ribosomal RNA
Rfam family: Bacterial small subunit ribosomal RNA
Source: RNAcentral
UACGUAGGGUGCAAGCGCUAAUCGGAAUUACUGGGCGUAAAGCGUGCGCAGGCGGUUGUGUAAGACAGAUGUGAAAUCCCCGGGCUCAACCUGGGAACUGCAUUUGUGACUGCACGGCUCGAGUGCGGCAGAGGGGGAUGGAAUUCCGCGUGUAGCAGUGAAAUGCGUAGAUAUGCGGAGGAACACCGAUGGCGAAGGCAAUCCCCUGGGCCUGCACUGACGCUCAUGCACGAAAGCGUGGGGAGCAAACAGG